This is a non-coding RNA of Maylandia zebra (zebra mbuna), 312 nucleotides long. The record is from RefSeq and is a predicted model, not a curated record. Lineage: Eukaryota; Metazoa; Chordata; Actinopteri; Cichliformes; Cichlidae.
GCGCUCAAUCCCACCUGCAGAGCGCCUGUCCGUCUGCCUGAGGUAUGGUGAGCCAGAUCAUCCCCCAGGUAGCGACGGCCAUCUGGGACUGUCUAGUGGACGAUUUCACGGCUGUGCCUUCAACUGAAGACUGGCGGUCCAUCGCAGAGGGAUUCCAGGAGCGCUGGAACUUCCCCCUCUGUUGUGGAGCUCUGGAUGGGAAGCACGUCCAGACGAAGGCACCCCCCAACUCAGGAUCCAUGUUCCACAACUACAAGGGAACUUUCUCCUUUUUAAAAUUUUCUUAAUAAAUGGAUCUCUACUCCAAAAUAA